Molecule: ribosomal RNA, 275 nt
Filed under: uncultured Prochlorococcus sp.
Lineage: Bacteria; Bacillati; Cyanobacteriota; Cyanophyceae; Synechococcales; Prochlorococcaceae
Description: partial 16S ribosomal RNA
Rfam family: Bacterial small subunit ribosomal RNA
Source: RNAcentral
GCGAGGCAGCAAUCCCAUAAACCGUGGCUCAGUUCAGAUCGUAGGCUGCAACUCGCCUACGUGAAGAAGGAAUCGCUAGUAAUCGCAGGUCAGCAUACUGCGGUGAAUACGUUCCCGGGCCUUGUACACACCGCCCGUCACACCAUGGAAGUUGGCCACGCCCGAAGUCGUUACUCCAACCCUUGUGGAGGAGGACGCCGAAGGUGGGGCUGAUGACUGGGGUGAAGUCGUAACAAGGUAGCCGUACCGGAAGGUGCGGCUGGAUCACCUCCUAA